ACGCUCGACACCUACGGGAGACAGCAGUGGGGAAUAUUGCACAAUGGGGGAAACCCUGAUGCAGCGACGCCGCGUGAGCGAAGAAGUAUUUCGGUAUGUAAAGCUCUAUCAGCAGGGAAGAAACUGACGGUACCUGACUAAGAAGCACCGGCUAAAUACGUUCCAGCAGCCGCGGUAAUCUGAGCGGCUGGCAAGGC
Molecule: ribosomal RNA, 197 nt
Filed under: uncultured bacterium
Lineage: Bacteria
Description: partial 16S ribosomal RNA
Rfam family: Bacterial small subunit ribosomal RNA
Source: RNAcentral